CUACGGGAGGCAGCAGUGGGGAAUUUUGGACAAUGGGGGCAACCCUGAUCCAGCAAUGCCGCGUGAGUGAAGAAGGCCUUCGGGUUGUAAAGCUCUUUUGUCAGGGAAGAAAAGGUGUUUCCUAAUACGAGACACUCAUGACGGUACCUGAAGAAUAAGCACCGGCUAACUACGUGCCAGCAGCCGCGGUAAUACGUAGGGUGCAAGCGUUAAUCGGAAUUACUGGGCGUAAAGCGUGCGCAGGCGGUUAUGUAAGUCAGAUGUGAAAUCCCCGGGCUCAACCUGGGAACUGCAUUUGAGACUGCAUGGCUAGAGUGUGUCAGAGGGGGGUAGAAUUCCACGUGUAGCAGUGAAAUGCGUAGAUAUGUGGAGGAAUACCGAUGGCGAAGGCAGCCCCCUGGGAUAACACUGACGCUCAUGCACGAAAGCGUGGGGAGCAAACAGGAUUAGAUACCCUGGU
This 460-nucleotide ribosomal RNA is filed under the name uncultured bacterium. RNAcentral's name for it is "bacterial SSU rRNA". It matches the Rfam family "Bacterial small subunit ribosomal RNA", at positions 339 to 791 of the family's 1533-position model. The record is from RNAcentral.